AAGAAAUCUCCCACAGAUUCUGUGCACAUCGCAGAGAUCGAAACAAUCGUACCCCGGAUAUCGGAGAUCGCCGAUAAUUAGAGCCAUGUUAUAUCGAAAGGCAGUCGCGUCUCGAUGACGACCGGGGGGGAUUCGGCCUUCGAUCGUCAACGGACGUUCUUCUUACCGAGUAUCUGGAUAUCCUCGGAGCAUCCUUGGCGAAACCAGUUCGUCCUUUUUCAUUCUCUCUAUCGUCGAUCCUCGCGUUCUGAAUUUUCGAGAUGAGAAGGGCCUCCAUUUUAACGGUGCGGAAUCGACGACGCUCUCGCAGGCGAAAAAUAACCGACCAAUGUAACGACGGGCAACGGGCAAAAAAAAAGGCCAAUGCUCACGAAGAAGAUCGUAAAGCGCGUUUGCAAUUUUCUACGCUGGGAGAAUAGCAAAAGCUGAGAUUGGGCGUGCAACAAUGACAAAGAUGGAAGGAAGGAAGAGGAGAAUUGACGAAACGGAGAUGAGGAGGUGAAAAUUUUCGAGUCAAUGUAUACGUCACGUCGCAGAUUUCUUCUUUUGCGGCCCCCGCUGCACCGCAGGAGCGAAGAAGAAGGAGAAGAAGAAUUUGGAGAUCAUCUGAAAUAAGAAGGAAGAAGAAAAUUGCAGAAAAAGGAAAAAGAAAUGACGAAAUAUCUAAGAGGAAGAGGAACCGGAAGAGCUUGCGGUGGUAUAAAAAAAAGAAAAAGAAAGGAGACGCGAUUCGGACGGAAUAUCCUGCAAGAGGAAGAGGAAGCGGAAGAGCUUUAGGUGGUUAAAAAAAAAAUUAAGGACUUUUAUCUCAAUUCUCUCGUACGGUGUGGGAAAAAUUUCACGGGAGGCCGCUGCACCCCGUUGUCCAAGGGGCAUAUUUUCUCACAUCUCUUUUGUUUUUGCUCUUCCGAAGGUAUUCGAGAGCAAAGGAUUUACGACCUUCGUUCGCUGAUUUUAUUGAUAUAUACGGUGUGUAAUCGAAGCAAAAUCCCAACAAUUACGAUCGUUGUAAGGUUACGUUGCAGCG
Molecule: unclassified non-coding RNA, 1027 nt
Filed under: Athalia rosae (coleseed sawfly)
Lineage: Eukaryota; Metazoa; Arthropoda; Insecta; Hymenoptera; Athaliidae
Description: misc RNA ENSAEAG00005011439.1
Source: RNAcentral